Molecule: ribosomal RNA, 418 nt
Filed under: uncultured bacterium
Lineage: Bacteria
Description: bacterial SSU rRNA
Rfam family: Bacterial small subunit ribosomal RNA
Source: RNAcentral
AACGAACGCUGGCGGCAUGCCUAACACAUGCAAGUCGAACGAGACCUUCGGGUCUAGUGGCGCACGGGUGCGUAACGCGUGGGAAUCUGCCCUUGGGUUCGGAAUAACAGUUAGAAAUGACUGCUAAUACCGGAUAAUGUCUUCGGACCAAAGAUUUAUCGCCCAGGGAUGAGCCCGCGUAGGAUUAGCUAGUUGGUGAGGUAAAGGCUCACCAAGGCGACGAUCCUUAGCUGGUCUGAGAGGAUGAUCAGCCACACUGGGACUGAGACACGGCCCAGACUCCUACGGGAGGCAGCAGUGGGGAAUAUUGGGACAAUGGGCGAAAGCCUGAUCCAGCAAUGCCGCGUGAGUGAUGAAGGCCUUAGGGUUGUAAAGACUCUUUUACCCGGGAUGAUAAUGACAGUACCGGGAGAAUAAG